Molecule: ribosomal RNA, 253 nt
Filed under: uncultured bacterium
Lineage: Bacteria
Description: partial 16S ribosomal RNA
Rfam family: Bacterial small subunit ribosomal RNA
Source: RNAcentral
UACGUAGGGGGCAAGCGUUGUCCGGAUUUAUUGGGCGUAAAGAGCGUGUAGGCGGCCUGGAAGGUCAGCUGUGAAACUCGAGGCUCAACCUCGAGACGUCGGUUGAAACCACCUGGCUAGAGUCCGGAAGAGGAGAGUGGAAUUCCCGGUGUAGCGGUGAAAUGCGCAGAUAUCGGGAAGAACACCGGUGGCGAAGGCGGGUCUCUGGGCCGAUACUGGACGCUGAGGAGCGAAAGCGUGGGGAGCGAACAGG